AGAGUUUGAUCCUGGCUCAGGAUGAACGCUAGCGGGAGGCCUAACACAUGCAAGCCGAGCGGUAGAUUACUUUCGGGUAAUUGAGAGCGGCGUACGGGUGCGGAACACGUGUGCAACCUGCCUUUAUCAGGGGGAUAGCCUUUCGAAAGGAAGAUUAAUACCCCAUAAUAUAUUAUUCGGCAUCGGGUGAUAUUGAAAACUACGGUGGAUAGAGAUGGGCACGCGCAAGAUUAGCUAGUUGGUGAGGUAACGGCUCACCAAGGCGACGAUCUUUAGGGGGCCUGAGAGGGUGAUCCCCCACACUGGUACUGAGACACGGACCAGACUCCUACGGGAGGCAGCAGUGAGGAAUAUUGGACAAUGGGUGGAAGCCUGAUCCAGCCAUCCCGCGUGCAGGAAGACGGCCCUAUGGGUUGUAAACUGCUUUUAUCUGGGGAUAAACCUACUUACGUGUAAGUAGCUGAAGGUACCAGAAGAAUAAGCACCGGCUAACUCCGUG
This 499-nucleotide ribosomal RNA is filed under the name uncultured Elizabethkingia sp. Its description in RNAcentral is "bacterial SSU rRNA". It matches the Rfam family "Bacterial small subunit ribosomal RNA", at positions 8 to 507 of the family's 1533-position model. Lineage: Bacteria; Pseudomonadati; Bacteroidota; Flavobacteriia; Flavobacteriales; Weeksellaceae. The record is from RNAcentral.